Patella vulgata (common limpet) is the source of this 1254-nucleotide long non-coding RNA. RefSeq lists it as uncharacterized. NCBI's taxonomy places the organism in Eukaryota, Metazoa, Mollusca, Gastropoda, Patellidae. The record is from RefSeq and is a predicted model, not a curated record. The transcript has 3 exons.
UUGAUAUUUGUGGACUACAUAACUAGACUUUUUGUGUGGACGAGUUAACUGGCAUUCAUUUUGAAUGAUUACAGUUGUUUUCGGUAAAUUUAAACUGUGGUACACUAUAUUGGUACUUGAAAAAAGGUGAAUUUAUUUCGUCUUUAUUUUUUUUUUCAGAGGUUGUAAAUUAAUAAUCCACCAGUGCGGUAUGUGAAAAAUGUGUCUAGACAAGAUGAUGGUGAGCUUGUGACCCGGAUGGAUGAAUGAUGGAAAGACAAAUAAUAAGUGCUGUAUACAGUAUUUGGUAUAAAUCAGUCAUUGAAAGUCAUUACAGCUGAAGAUUUUAAUGACGCUCUGUACCGGUACUAACAAUGUUGAUUACAGUCAAUGGAAGGUUAAUCAAACCUAUGAAUGUGGUCGAAUAAGGUGUGGAGUUGAUUAAUAGCAACAUUGAAUGUGGGUUGAAUAUGGUGUGUUAAAGAUGCAAGAAAACACACGAAAUGUGUAAACUGUAAUGGAUUAUAGCCUGGCGCUAUCCAAAUUACAAAACACCUGCCCUUGAGUCUAUGAAUAUUUAUUUUUUAUGGCACCCACAUUUUCAUGUCGCUGCCUCUGUCCGUCCAGAUGUACCUCCGGUGAAAUUUGUUUGUGGUCACAAUUAUCCGAUUUUAAUGAAAUUUAAAUGCAUAUUUAUAUUCAAAUCAUCUGGGAUCGGAUUCAUUUUGAACUCUAACCUCAUGGAUUAUGGCCCCUUAUAUUGUGGAAAAAUUGGGUUUUUAGCAUGUGAGCCCAUCCAGAGGAUUUUGGCAUAGAAUAUUACACCUGAUUGUACGAUCCAUUGUUUUUAACUUCUGGAUCCUCUAGAAUUCUCAGUUUUAUAUGCCAACAUUUCCCAUGCCCGAAUUAACCCUCUUUGCUGAAGAUUUGGCUUUCGAGUUCAGAGUUAUGCCCCAUAGCCAAAAACUUUGAAUUUGAUAGGAGUUACAGUUUUUAACCGAUCCUUUUCAGAUUUGGUGUAAAGCAUUGGAUUCAUGAGAUCGGAAACCCCAACGAUAUGCAGCGAUUCGAAGAUAACCUUUUCAAAAAAGCUUGUGAAUGUGAUGAGGCUACAAUGUUUUAAUUUGCCGUGUAGCAUUGGGACCAUGAGAGGACAAAUCCAAUAAAUAUCAGCAAUCCACACUUAACCCACUUUUUUGGAAAUUAUGUGAACGUGAUAAGGCUACAAUUUUUUUAACAGAUUUUUUUCUAAUUCUAUAUGAAACAUUGGGACAA